RNAcentral lists this ribosomal RNA (415 nucleotides) under uncultured Lactobacillus sp. Its description in RNAcentral is "bacterial SSU rRNA". It matches the Rfam family "Bacterial small subunit ribosomal RNA", at positions 355 to 762 of the family's 1533-position model. Lineage: Bacteria; Bacillati; Bacillota; Bacilli; Lactobacillales; Lactobacillaceae. The record is from RNAcentral.
UAGGGAAUCUUCCACAAUGGGCGCAAGCCUGAUGGAGCAACACCGCGUGAGUGAAGAAGGGUUUCGGCUCGUAAAGCUCUGUUGUUGGAGAAGAACGUGCGUGAGAGUAACUGUUCACGCAGUGACGGUAUCCAACCAGAAAGUCACGGCUAACUACGUGCCAGCAGCCGCGGUAAUACGUAGGUGGCAAGCGUUAUCCGGAUUUAUUGGGCGUAAAGCGAGCGCAGGCGGUUGCUUAGGUCUGAUGUGAAAGCCUUCGGCUUAACCGAAGAAGUGCAUCGGAAACCGGGCGACUUGAGUGCAGAAGAGGACAGUGGAACUCCAUGUGUAGCGGUGAAAUGCAUAGAUAUGACGCAGAACUCCGAUUGCGAAGGCAGCUUUCCAGCACGCCACUGACGCUGAGGCACGAAAGCGU